CCCUUAGAUGUUCUGGGCCGCACGCGCGCUACACUGAUUCAUGCAACAAGUUUUGUCCUUGGCUGAUAGGCCUGGGUAAUCUUUGAACGUGAAUCGUGAUGGGGAUAGAUGAUUGCAAUUAUUCAUCUUCAACGAGGAAUUCCUAGUAAACGCAAGUCAUCAGCUUGCAUUGAUUACGUCCCUGCCCUUUGUACACACCGCCCGUCGCACCUACCGAUUGAACGUUUUAGUGAGGUACUCGGACUGAGCCUCAGAAGAUUCACGUCUUUUGUGCUGCUCGGGAAGAUUCCCAAACUUGAGCGUUUAGAGGAAGUAAAAGUCGUAACA
This 327-nucleotide ribosomal RNA is filed under the name uncultured eukaryote. RNAcentral describes it as "partial 18S ribosomal RNA". It matches the Rfam family "Eukaryotic small subunit ribosomal RNA", at positions 1470 to 1796 of the family's 1831-position model. The record is from RNAcentral.